This 73-nucleotide transfer RNA is filed under the name Radiobacillus deserti. It matches the Rfam family "tRNA". From Rfam's summary of the family: Transfer RNA (tRNA) molecules are approximately 80 nucleotides in length. Their secondary structure includes four short double-helical elements and three loops (D, anti-codon, and T loops). The record is from Rfam by way of RNAcentral. Lineage: Bacteria; Bacillati; Bacillota; Bacilli; Caryophanales; Bacillaceae.
GGGGCAUUAGCUCAGCUGGGAGAGCGCUACACUGGCAGUGUAGAGGUCAGGAGUUCGAGCCUCCUAUGCUCCA